RNAcentral lists this long non-coding RNA (372 nucleotides) under Daucus carota (carrot). Its description in RNAcentral is "long non-coding RNA (DCAR_LNC006407)". Lineage: Eukaryota; Viridiplantae; Streptophyta; Magnoliopsida; Apiales; Apiaceae. The record is from RNAcentral.
UUCCCUAUUUCAUGUCCUAAGUCCAAUUAUAAGGAAUGUGACAUAAAUUAGUGCUCCAGCAGUGUCUUAGAGGUGCCUUAAAUCACUAGGAUCCUCCUUUCAUGCCUUAUUAAUAAGGCACCACUAGCCAUGCCUUAUUUGAUUUCUUUAAUAAAAAAAUCAUUUCUCUCUCUUAUUGUAACUUAUUUUCUCUCUCUUCCUUCCAUCUUUUAUCAAUCUCUCUCCAAAUUUAUUAUUAUAAUAAUAAUAAGGAAUGAAUUAUAAGGAUCAUUGUUGGAGUUGAAAUACAAAAUCUUGUCCUAAAUCACUAAGAUUCAAUAUUUUAUAAUAUUUAUAAGGAAGACACUAAGACACUGCUGAAGAUGCUCUAAG